RNAcentral lists this unclassified non-coding RNA (180 nucleotides) under Glomeromycotina sp. RNAcentral describes it as "partial contains small subunit ribosomal RNA, internal transcribed spacer 1, and 5.8S ribosomal RNA". The stretch from base 1 to 47 matches the Rfam family "Eukaryotic small subunit ribosomal RNA", at positions 1785 to 1831 of the family's 1831-position model. Lineage: Eukaryota; Fungi; Glomeromycota. The record is from RNAcentral.
AAAGUCGUAACAAGGUUUCCGUAGGUGAACCUGCGGAAGGAUCAUUAAUGAUUUGGCAAACCGAGCGUUAGCGAGGUUUUGCGAUCAAUUUGUAUUUAAAACCCAACUCUUUAUAAUAAUUAUACAUAAUUUUUAAUGAUAAAAAUUAGAUCACUUUCAACAACGGAUCUCUUGGCUCUC